AAAAAGAUAAGCUAAAUAAGCUAGUGGGUUCAUACCCCAAUUAUAAAGGUCCUAAUCCUUUUCUUUUUA
This 69-nucleotide transfer RNA is filed under the name Euplatypus parallelus. RNAcentral describes it as "tRNA-Met". It matches the Rfam family "tRNA". Rfam says of the family: Transfer RNA (tRNA) molecules are approximately 80 nucleotides in length. Their secondary structure includes four short double-helical elements and three loops (D, anti-codon, and T loops). Lineage: Eukaryota; Metazoa; Arthropoda; Insecta; Coleoptera; Curculionidae. The record is from RNAcentral.